RNAcentral lists this ribosomal RNA (601 nucleotides) under uncultured bacterium. RNAcentral describes it as "bacterial SSU rRNA". It matches the Rfam family "Bacterial small subunit ribosomal RNA", at positions 734 to 1345 of the family's 1533-position model. The record is from RNAcentral.
CUUUAACUGACGCUGAGGCACGAAAGCAUGGGUAGCAAACAGGAUUAGAUACCCUGGUAGUCCAUGCCGUAAACGAUGAUUACUAGGUGUGGGGGGAUUGACCCCUUCCGUGCCGCAGUUAACACAAUAAGUAAUCCACCUGGGGAGUACGGCCGCAAGGUUGAAACUCAAAGGAAUUGACGGGGGCCCGCACAAGCAGUGGAGUAUGUGGUUUAAUUCGAAGCAACGCGAAGAACCUUACCAGGUCUUGACAUCGAGUGACGUAUCCAGAGAUGGAUAUUCCCUACGGGGCACGAAGACAGGUGGUGCAUGGUUGUCGUCAGCUCGUGUCGUGAGAUGUUGGGUUAAGUCCCGCAACGAGCGCAACCCUUGCUGUUAGUUGCUACGCAAGAGCACUCUAACAGGACUGCCGUUGAUAAAACGGAGGAAGGUGGGGACGACGUCAAAUCAUCAUGCCCCUUAUGACCUGGGCUACACACGUACUACAAUGGCCGUAAACAAAGGGAAGCAAAGGAGCGAUCCGGAGCAAACCCCCAAAAACGGUCCCAGUUCAGAUUGUAGGCUGCAACCCGCCUACAUGAAGUGGAAUGCUAGUAAUCGC